GACGGAGACAAACAUCGUGAGAGAGUAAUAUUCAUCGGUUGCCUCCAGUACAUGCCCCAACCGGGUAUGUGCCCCAACUUGAAAUUUAACCCGAGACCCUUCGGUGCAUGGGAUGAAACUCCAACCAACUGCACCACACGGGCCAGGGCUGUGUCCAUUUUCUUCGUCCACUAGGCUGUGGCAGCUUAAGGGCAGGGCCAGGGCUAGUGUUCCCCUUUGGCCUCAGGCCCAGUGCCAUGCCUGACACUAAAUCUUUGUGGACUGUGGGCAGACUACACUGGGUUGGGUCUGGGUGACCUUUUCGGGUACCCCCGUUUCUAUUCCAGGCUCUGGUUUCUGUGAUGGGAACACCAAGGCAGUGCCCUUUGGGAUGCCAAGAAAAGCAUGAGCUACCCAGUUUGGCAGAGUCCCUGCAUCCUCCACUUCUGAAAUGGGGGUGAGCAGUUGAGCAAAGAUCCUGGGGCUUUCAAGCACUCUGUCAACUUUUCUGGACUAAGAAGCCUCUCUGGACGGCAGGGCUGGGUUGGGAGAGAUGGUUGGAAAAGCCAGGCUUCUCCAGCGACAGCCAGUCCUGGCUGGGAGCCACCCUCAAUGCAGGACAAAGCAGAAAUAGAAACGUACAGGCUGAGGCCACCACAUAUCAUCACAUAUCCUCGGUGCGGAAGGGGAGCACCAGCAUGACCCUGCUCCAGGCUGCCCCGUCCAGGCUGGCUGAGCCCCAUACAACCCGUAGGCCCUGCUCUGCAGUUUCAGUUGCAUGAAGGCAGUUUCCAAAAUGGAGUGGGCCUGGCUCCAGGAAGGCGAUGGAAGGGAGGCUCCCACCCCAACUGUGGUUUCUGCAGGGAGUGGCUCGCUGGCCAUUCUGGGGCCACAUGAGAGAAGCCAUUUAGGCCACGAAUAGAUGAGGGGAAUGGGGCGUCUCCUCUGGUCUUGCGGCCCCUGUCAGUGUCUGAUGUGGUGUCCUGCUCCCUUUCACUUUCUCGCUGGGCUGGGCCCGAUGUGUCCUGGAACCUUGAGAACCAGCGCUAAGUAAGGCAGGCUGUUCGCCCUCAGGGAGUCCACACAGGAGUGGGAGAAGCAGACACACAAACUCUUAGCUGCAGGGAGUCUGUCCAGGGGGUGGGCAUGCAAAGGCGAAGACUUCACAAGAGGUGACUGGGAGCUGAACCUGCUGAAAGAAUAGGAUUUUCCAGGUGGCAAGGAAGGGGGAGGAGGCAGCCUGCGCCAGAUCCUGGAGGUGUGGACAGGUACCGUAUGUUGGGAGAAUGAGUGAGCCUGAGCACAGCUAGGGACCAGAGGAGGUAGAGGUCACACCAGGGCCUUGGGACCCCAAUACAGUUUCUGUCCUGGGUUAGCGCUCAGCCUCCCCAGGUGGUGGUCAGCACAUCUCAGGAUCGGGGUGGAGGCACCUGUAGUGUCCCGCCAUCAUCCUGCCCACUCCCUCUGACGCCCACUCCCUCUGACGCCCACUCCCUCUGACGCCCACUCCCUCUGAUGCCCAUUUUUCUAUUUUUGGCAGACUGACCAGGAGCCAUGAUGUUUACACCCAUAUGAGCCGAGUCAGCAGAUUUAAAUUUCAGACGUCUUCAAAAAAGAAGUCAGGGUGACAGCUAGCAGCUUCCUGAAAUUCUGAGAUCAGAGGAAAUGUUGACUUAGAGCCCUAGUGGGGGUUGGAGGGAGGAUACCAACUGAGCUGGGUCCCAGUCGAGGGGUUCCUAGGACACUUGGCUUCUAACCCAGAGAUCUCAGCCCUGGCUGGGAAGAACCUUUGAACAGCUUUAUUGGGGUGUAAUUUGCAUACCACUAGAUUUGCUGUCACCAAAAGACAGUUCAGUGAUUUUGAGUAAAUUUACACAGUUGUGCAGUCAUCACAACUCAGUUCUAGAUUCCCAUCACCCAGAGCUCUUGUGACUGUUUACAGUCAACCCCUCUCUGCAGCUACCAUCCCAGGUUAACCACUAACUGCUGUCUUGAUAGGAUUGCCUUUGCAGACCUUUCCUAUGAAAGAGAUCAUAUAAAAUGUAGUCUUUAUGUCUUGCCUCUUAUAUUUUGCAUAAUGUAUUUGAGAUUCAUACAUGUGCAUAGCAUGUAUCAGGAGUUCAUACUUUUUAUACUGUUGGACAGUAUCCCAUUGUAUAGGUAUAUGCAUUUUGUUUAUCGGUUUACCAGCUGGUGGACAUUUGGGUUGUUUGCACUAUUAUGAAUAAAGCUGCUAUGAACAUUCAUGUACAA
Long non-coding RNA from Myotis lucifugus (little brown bat), 2232 nucleotides. RefSeq lists it as uncharacterized. The record is from RefSeq and is a predicted model, not a curated record. Lineage: Eukaryota; Metazoa; Chordata; Mammalia; Chiroptera; Vespertilionidae. The transcript is spliced from 2 exons.